AUACGUAGGUGGCAAGCGUUGUCCGGAAUUAUUGGGCGUAAAGCGCGCGCAGGCGGUCCUUUAAGUCUGAUGUGAAAGCCCACGGCUCAACCGUGGAGGGUCAUUGGAAACUGGGGGACUUGAGUGCAGAAGAGGAAAGGGGAAUUCCAAGUGUAGCGGUGAAAUGCGUAGAGAUUUGGAGGAACACCAGUGGGGAAGGCGACUUUCUGGUAUGUAACGGACGCUGAGGCGCGAAAGCGUGGGGAACAAACAGGAUUAGACACCCUGGUAGGCCACGCCGUAAACGAUGAGUGCUAAGUGUUAGGGGGUUUCCGCCCCUUAGUGCUGCAGCUAAUGCAUUAAGCACUCCGCCUGGGGAGUACGGUCGCAAGACUGAAACUUAAAGGAAUUGACGGGG
RNAcentral lists this ribosomal RNA (397 nucleotides) under uncultured bacterium. RNAcentral's name for it is "partial 16S ribosomal RNA". It matches the Rfam family "Bacterial small subunit ribosomal RNA", at positions 523 to 918 of the family's 1533-position model. The record is from RNAcentral.